Cyanistes caeruleus (blue tit) is the source of this 174-nucleotide non-coding RNA. NCBI's taxonomy places the organism in Eukaryota, Metazoa, Chordata, Aves, Passeriformes, Paridae. The record is from RefSeq and is a predicted model, not a curated record.
CCGGAACACAAGCGGAAAUGUAGGUUAGAUGGACUUACAGCAAACUGAAAAACUGUCUGCCCAAAGAGUAAUUCAGGCUGCUGCAGAAACCAGAAAGGUACAUGCUUGAAAGGAAUGAAACAGCUACUUAUGUUUUUCUUGAAAUUGAUGGAAGACAGAGAAAAUAUAUAGGCA